UAACAAUGGAUUACACCAUGUUGGACACCUCCAACCCUUGCCUUCUAAGUAAGAACACUUAUUUCUCAGGUAUAAGCCAACCUUCAACACUCCAAUUCAGGGUUUGGAUCAAUCCAAAUAAGUUUUGGAACUCUCCAAAACUCAAACACCCAAAAACUGUUUGACAAAAAUAGAGUAUACAAAUUUCAGUACACAAACCCCUUAAAUGUUAGAUGUGUG
This 219-nucleotide long non-coding RNA is filed under the name Elaeis guineensis (African oil palm). RNAcentral describes it as "long non-coding RNA (EGUI_LNC027535)". Lineage: Eukaryota; Viridiplantae; Streptophyta; Magnoliopsida; Arecales; Arecaceae. The record is from RNAcentral.